UGUUAGUUAUCACAUUCUACCUUCUGUGUUCUAAUGUUUCCAUAAGUUUUAGGGCAGUUAUAAACCAUUAAAGGCUGAAAAAUGAACUUGGGGCACUCUGUAUUCUUAUGUCCUAACGCCCUCUCCGCCUCGGUGACAUCUUUAAGGCAUAUAUGGAGAAGAAAGAAAACAGCUUCCCAGCCACUCACGUUGGUCAAUAUAUUAUUAGAGCAAUUAACAGCUUCCAGCGGUGAGAGGGGAACCGAAGACCCCUAACUCAUCUCCUCUUAGCUUUCUGGGGUUUGGGUUGGGGUCUAGGCUAGGAUUAAUUUCCCCGUCCCAGUCAGCUAUACAAACAAAUCAUCCAGGACUGGAAAAAUCCAAUUCCAAACAGAGUGUUUAAUUGAUCUCCAUUUAUUCCAUUCCCAGCAACAGGAAAAGACUAUUUAUGCUUGGUACCAGAUGAAUCAGUAUGAUGCCUUUUCCUUCUGGUCGGCUUGCGUUCCCACCAGAGUUGAAAGAAGGAGAAAGUGACUGGUAAUUCAUUUAUGUUCUCCCUCGGAACAUAUAGUAUUUCUAUAAAUAACCGCGGCGUGGUGUUCGGAGAGGCUAACGGUAAUAAUAAGCACGUUUGCACUUUCUCGUAGAUUCCAACGACUUUGGGGCAUUCUUUUUCUUAACUUCACCCAAAGGGCAUCAUUUCUCUGAUUAAGAAAACUUUAAGUAAGGGAAUGUUUAAAGAGAUUUGUCCAGGGUCCAGCAGGAGAUCCAGAAAGCCUUGCACCUCCUUCACAGUUUGGUAGGAUGGAAAGAACCCCCGAUUUUUGUCCAGAAGACUUAAGAUGAAAUCCAAUUUGGGGCACCUGAUAGCAGAAUGAUCCUGGAGCACAGACAAGUCCAACCAACAGAGAGGCUCUCUUGCCUUUUGUGGUUCAGUUGUUUCUGUUUGCAAGAAAUGCUAGAACGUACUUCCUUUGAAACUGGGCCUACAAAAAGAUCGCUGUCACAGGCUAUGGAAGAGCAACUAAAGACAGAACCCAGCAUCACUUCAGUGCUACAAAAAGGCAGAAGAGGACUGGACUUAAUAUCAUCCUCCCCAUGUGACAGAUAACAAAAUCAAGGCUUAGGGAAGUGGUUAUUUUCUCCAAAACUGAUUGUCAAUAAAUGAUGAAUCUUAGCGUC
This is a long non-coding RNA of Monodelphis domestica (gray short-tailed opossum), 1161 nucleotides long. RefSeq lists it as uncharacterized. NCBI's taxonomy places the organism in Eukaryota, Metazoa, Chordata, Mammalia, Didelphimorphia, Didelphidae. The record is from RefSeq and is a predicted model, not a curated record.